GAGCCCGUGGCUCAAUGGUAGAGCGUUCGACUCAAAUUCCAUAGGUUGCGGGUUCG
Molecule: transfer RNA, 56 nt
Filed under: Schistocephalus solidus
Lineage: Eukaryota; Metazoa; Platyhelminthes; Cestoda; Diphyllobothriidea; Diphyllobothriidae
Rfam family: tRNA
About the family: Transfer RNA (tRNA) molecules are approximately 80 nucleotides in length. Their secondary structure includes four short double-helical elements and three loops (D, anti-codon, and T loops). Further hydrogen bonds mediate the characteristic L-shaped molecular structure. tRNAs have two regions of fundamental functional importance: the anti-codon, which is responsible for specific mRNA codon recognition, and the 3' end, to which the tRNAs corresponding amino acid is attached (by aminoacyl-tRNA synthetases). tRNAs cope with the degeneracy of the genetic code in two manners: having more than one tRNA (with a specific anti-codon) for a particular amino acid; and 'wobble' base-pairing, i.e. permitting non-standard base-pairing at the 3rd anti-codon position.
Source: Rfam by way of RNAcentral